GGCCCUGAGUUCGAUCCCUGGUACCGAAGGAAUAAGGAAAAAAAAUGUUUAAGGCUUUGACUCCAUGUCUCUUCGUUUUCUCCAGCGGAAGCAGAAUAAUUCGGGUUAUUGCGCCGGUACCAUUUACACUCUGAGGGUGUAGACGAAGACACCGUUUACCUGGCCACAGAGUUCUUCGCGCUUCUUUCCAGGAGGCGGCUGAACCCUAUCCGCCUGAUGCUAACUGGUUUCUGGAGAAGCUGUCACCCGAGACAAAUGGAGGAAAGUGGGCUUCAGGGUUCGAGCUAUGGUGUCAUUUGCUGGAAGGGUGAUGAUGUGAGGCCCUCGUUCAAAAGCGGGAAAGAAGUGGCAUCAAAGCUCAGGAUGGGAAAUACCUCAAGCAAAAUCCACUGAUAAUCCGAAGUUCCUCACCACAUUUCUUCCCCAUCCCUAGGAUGUUUGCCCUUCAAAACUGGGUACUGUGCUGGCUGCCUUGCUAAAUCUAUUUCUUUUUUUUCUUCCCGGCCUAGCCAGGCAGAGUGACGAUUGCUUUGCGUGCCUGACUAUGGCCUGGGCUUCAAGUUGGCAAAGGCCCCGGUAGGAGAAGCACCGGGGUCCCCUUCACCCCAGGGCGUGUCCAGCACAGAGCCCGGGACAGCCUGACACACAGCUGUGGGUUUCCAGCCUUCGGAGUCGUCCUUAGCACACAGUUCGCUCUGGUUUUUCUUCCCAGAUAGAACCGGAAGUCACAGGUGGCACUUCUGUUCUUCUAGGCUCAGCCUGCAGUCCGCGGGGGCCUGGCUCAGGUGCUCCGGCCUCCAGCCUCGGGAGCCCAGCGCUGACUCCCCGCCUGCCUCCUCCCGGUGCGCAGGAAGAGAGGGACCCAAAUGGCUGCCUGGAGCAGGGAAACUUCUGAGGUGCGGAGAAAGAAGCGGCGCCACAGGACUCGGAAGGUGGUCGCCUCCUUCGGGUAUAGGGGCCAUAGCCACGUCUCAAGUCAGCCACACGGCACCGCGCUCCUGCGGAGACCGAGUGGGCGGGGCCGUGUCACCGCGCGUGUCCCAGUGAGCUUGCUUAGAAAGCGGUGGGGACGCUCACGGUGUGCCUUCCGCUGGCCUCGAAGUCUGUGACACGGGGCUCUUGCUGGUCUGCUUCGCACAGUGGGGAGGUCAGGCCAAGGGAAGUUAGCGGACCUCCGCGUUAUCUCCGGGUGGGUGCUCUCCAGCCUCUCUGUUGUGUUGCCUUUCAGUAAAGCCACGUUUUUUUAGCCAUCCGAUGCAAACCGUGAGGAGGUGGACUCUUAAUGAAAUGAAUGCUCCUGCUUGGAGCUUUUCACACCAUUUCUAACUCAGAGAAGCAUUGCAAGGACGGGACAAGGAACUCUCGGAGACCCUUCGCCUGCUGUGGAUUCACGAGUUGUUUACAUCUCUUCCCAUAGGAUUAUUUACUUUCUCUGAUUCACUUGAAAAUAAAUUGGAGUCAUCGUGCCCUCUUUGCCCCGCAUUCUGCAGUACACAUUUCCUAGAAACGAAGAUACUCUUUUGACCUCAGUGUAAUCAUUAAAAGUAGGAAACCUGCUGUUGAAACACGACAGUUGUCUAACCUGCCACUUCCGCUCAGAGUCCACCAGUUUUCUCAGCAGCACCGUCUGUAAGCGCCCUCCCGGUUCUGCUUCCCUGGAGCUGCGCUGCUGGUUACUUUUUGGCCUGGAGCAGCUCCUCCAGCUUCUAGCUCAAGCUCCCCAGGAUUAGUUCCAGCCCAGGCCGGAGAACUGCGAUCUCAGCGCCUCUAUGAGACGGUGCGGGGUUCUCAUCUGCACCAUCCCAGUUGCUGCUGGGUUUGGUCCCUUGAGGAAGGCGGUGCCUGUGAGGGUCCCUUCCUGUAAACUCGCUCCUGUUCACUUUGCAAUCGGUGUAAGUAUUUUUGUGGAAACUUUGAGACUCAUUAAACAUCGUUCCUAUCCAACCCUAGAGAAGCCCGUGGGUCUGUGAUUCUCCCCCUCUCACUGUCUCUGUCUCCCUCCUUCCCUCUUUUCCUCCCUCCCUCCCUUCCCUCCCUUUGUAUCACUGGGUUUACUUCCCAUAUGGUGGAGCCAGUCUUCGUGAACUUCCUCCGAAGGGAAGCCUGUGGGGACAAAAGUAUAAGGUUCUCCAUAAUGGUGUCUUCAUCCUCCCCUCUUCUGGGAUUGCUACUUGGAUUGAUUUUUGCAAUCCUAGGUGGGAAAUCGUGUUUGCGGCUUUUGUUUUACUGUCUUCUAGUGUCCUGUGUUGCUUUUGAAAAGCUUCCGUCAUUCCAACUUGCGAAAGGGUGAGACUUUUUUUUUCUCCUCUGAAAGAUUUGAAUGUUUGUUUUAAAAAGGUAUUUGGUGGGAAGCCCGUCUCUCAUUUUGGUACAUUUUGGUACUGGGCACUU
Fukomys damarensis (Damara mole-rat) is the source of this 2391-nucleotide long non-coding RNA. RefSeq lists it as uncharacterized. Lineage: Eukaryota; Metazoa; Chordata; Mammalia; Rodentia; Bathyergidae. The transcript is spliced from 4 exons. The record is from RefSeq and is a predicted model, not a curated record.